Molecule: long non-coding RNA, 333 nt
Organism: Pongo pygmaeus (Bornean orangutan)
Lineage: Eukaryota; Metazoa; Chordata; Mammalia; Primates; Hominidae
Exons: 3
Source: RefSeq, a predicted model, not a curated record
GAGAUCAUGCCUCCCAGCCAGAACAAAUAUUCCUUCCUACCAAUCCCAGAUUUUCUGACAAACCUUCAUCUCCUGAACCAACUGCAAACCUGAAAACCUUUGAAUCCACGUUAUGACCUGUGUGCUGCCCCACUUCAAGAAUAUAUGUUACCAUCUCACAGAACACAGUUUGGAGAAUACUGGUAUAAAAUAUCAUUCCUCAUCAUGUGUUAUCAGAGCAUUGAAGAGUGCAAUGAUUUCAGGAUCAAUGAUUUCUGCAAAUGAACAUUUUUAAUAAAGCAGCUCUGGACUGUGAUUCCUAACUAUUGGGGCAUUGGCAUUAAAGAAAAGAGA